GGACCUUCAUCGCUCAGGUGGUUAGAGCAAGGUUUUUGCAGUGAGAACCGGAACUUUAAUCACUGGCGAAUCACAUCAGAAGCGUAUCAAUCUUGCGCGGCACACUUCGAUCCAGUGGGUAGAUUCAACUAUUGUAAAGAAGGUGGAUCGAAAUUCCGAAGCCAUCUUGUUUAUUUCGUCUGAAGAUGAGUGCCUGCCAACCCACAGUUCCAGUGAAUCGAAACCGAACGUAGACGAUAACAAGAAAGAUCCUGUGCCAAUCGAAGCCUUUUUGGUUCCGCAUUCCUGUGCAGUGUCAAAAAUAAACAGUCUAGAGGAGAAAUCGAUAUCAACGCCAGUAAGAAUAGUGCAACCAUGUCCGACGCUUACUGGGGGCAUUCCGAAAUUCCUUGUCUCAACGCCUACUGGAAUCCAGCCGUCGAUGAUACCAGCCAUAUACCGUGGAUAAUCAAAAUUCGGACACACUUAAACUUCGGACACUACAAUUCGUAUGGGAAAUUUUCUGAAAUAUUUCAUCGAAAUGUUUCGUCGAGCUAGAUUGGAAAGACUAAUAGUUUUCGCUUGCUUUAGUAUAGAUACAUUUUAAUAAGACAUGUUAAAACAAUGCGACGAAAUGAUUAAGAGACAGUCUGAACUUUGCAGUGAAAAUUGUUUUCAAUUAUUCUUCCCGGUACUGUGUAAUCAGGUGUCCGAAAUAUGAAUCGAACCUGGCCGGUGUCCGAGGUUUGAAUCAAACCGAAGCCGGACAUUUUCAUAAAUUGCAAACUUUCUUCGCAAAAUCUUGCACAUAUUAAAUACGUAGCUCAACAAUGAAUACUGUACUUAGUGAUUGCAAUGGUGAUUUAAACGGUGUAAUUUAAAAAUGUGAGUUAACAGGAUGAUUGUAUUUCAGAAAGUGCUCCGAAGCGUCCGAAGUUUGAGUUUGCACGGUACCAUCCAGCAGUGAAGCAGUUCCCGCGUGAAACAUUCAUCGAUUCUUUUCAAGUGCCAAAGUGGUUUUCGAGAGCACGAGACCACGAUCCUUCAGAUAAUCAAGCCGCUGCGGAUGUCCGCUGGAACCCGUCAAGCAUUGCAUCUUCCUACAGUGAGAUCAACCAGAACCCGUCCGAUACGUAAGCCGCCGCCAAGUGUAAUCAAGUUUCGUCAGGUACUCAACCUGUUCCCGAGUGCUCCCCAGCUACGUGGGUCAAUCGGUAUCCAUUCGAAGGAGCCCAGUUUGAUGUCAACCGGAGAACGUUAGGAGAUGAGAGGUGUCCCUAUCCAGAUAGCAGCUACAGUGAACGCAUGGCUAGUAAGAAAACCAGUGGAGUCGUCGCCAGUCAACGUUAAGUCACUGCCAUGCGAAGCAUUGCACACCCAUGGCAAAGAAAAUCACUCGAUGGAGCAUCCAAUCAGCACCGAGAAAGAGAGCCCAUCUAAGCGAGCAUGCAUGUAUCACAGCCUUACUCCUCAAUUUUGACACAAGAAUAUCGGCUUCUUUGUUGAACACCUCCAGGAAUCCUUCCAGCAUCUUAAA
Armigeres subalbatus is the source of this 1516-nucleotide long non-coding RNA. RefSeq lists it as uncharacterized. The transcript has 4 exons. The record is from RefSeq and is a predicted model, not a curated record. Lineage: Eukaryota; Metazoa; Arthropoda; Insecta; Diptera; Culicidae.